AUAUUGGACAAUGGGGGGAACCCUGAUCCAGCCAUGCCGCGUGUGUGAAGAAGGCCUUUUGGUUGUAAAGCACUUUAAGCGAGAAGGAGGCUCCCAGUAUUAAUACUACUGGAGAGUGGACGUUACUCGCAGAAUAAGCACCGGCUAACUCUGUGCCAGCAGCCGCGGUAAUACAGAGGGUGCAAGCGUUAAUCGGAUUUACUGGGCGUAAAGCGUGCGUAGGUGGCCAAUUAAGUCAAAUGUGAAGUCCCCGAGCUUAACUUGGGAAUUGCAUUCGAUACUGGUUGGCUAGAGUAUGGGAGAGGAUGGUAGAAUUCCAGGUGUAGCGGUGAAAUGCGUAGAGAUCUGGAGGAAUACCGAUGGCGAAGGCAGCCAUCUGGCCUAAUACUGACACUGAGGUACGAAAGCAUGGGGAGCAAACAG
Molecule: ribosomal RNA, 423 nt
Filed under: uncultured bacterium
Lineage: Bacteria
Description: bacterial SSU rRNA
Rfam family: Bacterial small subunit ribosomal RNA
Source: RNAcentral